Molecule: long non-coding RNA, 426 nt
Filed under: Calidris pygmaea (Spoon-billed sandpiper)
Lineage: Eukaryota; Metazoa; Chordata; Aves; Charadriiformes; Scolopacidae
Description: lncRNA (ENSCPGG00000005442.1)
Source: RNAcentral
UUUAUAUAUAUAUAUAUAUAUAUUUGAAGUGUUGCAAAGUUUAGUUUCUGUAAUUACAGAGAAGCUGCCUCUUUUCUUCACUGCAGAAACUGAGAUUGGUUCAUGUAUUCAUCUUCACAUUUUUAAAUUUGAAAAAUGUGGAAGUCUAACAUUUUUAAACACGCUGAUUGUGGGUUCUUGUCUCAAACACUCUUUCUCUGACGAUACAACAGAACACGAGGCAAAGGGGUGAAGCAACGACUGACAGGCAAGAAUAUCCUCGACUGUGACACCAGACUUCUCUGUCAGAAACCUCACCUGAUCCAGGGUAGGUCUCUGAAUUACAGCUUGUCUGAGACCCAUGUUUAUUUUUUGGAGGAGAAGGCAAUGCACAAUCAGAAAAAAAACCCCACCCCUUAAUAUUUUAGAGAUAAUGUUAUUCUCCUC